CCCUCUGAGCAUUGUUUCAGGUGGGCGUGUCUGAGAGUCUCCAGCUGCAGCUAAUCCUGUCAUCGAGGUCCAGGGGAUUUAAGGAGCAGUGUGACACUUCACUUCGCCGGAUGAUUACUCUGUUUGGGUUUCGCUCCACACUCCACCAUCUCCAUAACCAGUUUGGACUCCUGCAUCCCAGAUCACGCUGUCUCCUCCCCUGGCCGCCCGCUCUCAGCCGCUCACCUGACCUCACCAAACCUCUGCUCCUACCUCCCCUCUGGUUCAACAGUUACUUCACCUUCUGGAUCCUUCCUGCUCACCCGGACCUGACUUAGCCCUCCCUGAGCCUCUCACCACUACCUACUAUCAAAUCACCUCCUGGAAUUUUGCUGCCAGUCCUGCACUGCGUCUGUUCCCGUUCUUCCCGUUACUCAUCAUUCAAUAAUAAAGACGUUUUACGUACUUACCGGUUCUCAGUGUUGUGAUUCUGCAUGUCGUGGGUCAAGAAACUGCCACCCACCUUGACAUCAAAGGGUUAAAGAUGGACAGGAAGCUGACAGAGAGCUGGUGGAGCGCUUUGUGGCAUGGUGUGGAAACAAUCAUCUGACCUUGAACGUGAACAAAACAAAGGAGAUGAUUUUAGACUUCAGAAGAAACAGGGUGGAGUCAAACACUGUUUCCAUCAUGGGAGAAGAAGUGGAGGUGGUUGAGGAAUACAAAUAUCUUGGAGUUCACCUGGACAACAGACUGGACUGGAGAAAGAGAACAGCAAAGCCGUUUACAAGAAGGGACACAGCAGACUGCACUUCUUGAGGACGCUUAGGUCCUUCAAUGUCUGUAACAAGAUGCUGCAGAUCUUCUACAAGUCUGUUGUUGAGAGUGUAAUCUCUUCAGCCAUCGUCUGUUGGGGUAGUAGCAUCAGAAGCAGGGACCUGAAAAGGCUCAACAGCCUAAUAAAACAGGCUGGUUCUGUUCUGGGGACGACUGUGGAACCACUGGAGGAGAUAAUGCAAAGAAGGAUUCUCCAGAGAAUCAAGAAAAUUAUGGACAACCCUGAGCAUUCUCUUCACAAGACUGUCUGACAACGGAAGAGUGUCUUCAGUCAGAGGCUUCUUCAGUUUCGCUGCAACACUGACCGCUACUGGAGAUCCUUCCUGCCAAUAGCCAUUGUAAUAUACAAUAACUCUUUGAUGACUUGAUUAUUAUUAUUAUUAUGAGCUACUACAUCAAUCAAUUUCCCUCUGGGAUUAAUAAAGUAUUUUUGAAUUUGAAUUGAAUUUAUGAUAAAUGUUUGACAUUUAUUGAUGUAUUAUGUUAGGACAAAUGAAAGAAUCAAAACUUUCAUGAAAAUUAGGAAAACAUUUCUUUUGUUUUUGCUUCCUUUAAUAAAA
Long non-coding RNA from Nothobranchius furzeri (turquoise killifish), 1373 nucleotides. RefSeq lists it as uncharacterized. The record is from RefSeq and is a predicted model, not a curated record. Lineage: Eukaryota; Metazoa; Chordata; Actinopteri; Cyprinodontiformes; Nothobranchiidae.